AUUGAACGCUGGCGGCAGGCCUAACACAUGCAAGUCGAGCGGAUGAAGGGAGCUUGCUCCUGGAUUCAGCGGCGGACGGGUGAGUAAUGCCUAGGAAUCUGCCUGGUAGUGGGGGAUAACGUCCGGAAACGGGCGCUAAUACCGCAUACGUCCUGAGGGAGAAAGUGGGGGAUCUUCGGACCUCACGCUAUCAGAUGAGCCUAGGUCGGAUUAGCUAGUUGGUGGGGUAAAGGCCUACCAAGGCGACGAUCCGUAACUGGUCUGAGAGGAUGAUCAGUCACACUGGAACUGAGACACGGUCCAGACUCCUACGGGAGGCAGCAGUGGGGAAUAUUGGACAAUGGGCGAAGGCCUGAUCCAGCCAUGCCGCGUGUGUGACGAAGGUCUUCGGAUUGUAAAGCACUUUAAGUUGGGAGGAAGGGCAGUAAGUUAAUACCUUGCUGUUUUGACGUUACCAACAGAAUAAGCACCGGCUAACUUCGUG
Molecule: ribosomal RNA, 484 nt
Filed under: uncultured bacterium
Lineage: Bacteria
Description: partial 16S ribosomal RNA
Rfam family: Bacterial small subunit ribosomal RNA
Source: RNAcentral